This 465-nucleotide ribosomal RNA is filed under the name uncultured bacterium. RNAcentral describes it as "partial 16S ribosomal RNA". It matches the Rfam family "Bacterial small subunit ribosomal RNA", at positions 329 to 792 of the family's 1533-position model. The record is from RNAcentral.
GGCCAGACUCCUACGGGAGGCAGCAGUGAGGAAUAUUGGUCAAUGGGCGGGAGCCUGAACCAGCCAUGCCGCGUGAAGGCGAGUGCCCUACGGGCGUUAAACUUCUUUUGUGCGGGAGCAAUAAGGGCCACGCGUGGCCCGAUGAGAGUACCGCACGAAUACGCAUCGGCUAACUCCGUGCCAGCAGCCGCGGUAAUACGUAGGGGGCAAGCGUUAUCCGGAUUUACUGGGUGUAAAGGGAGCGUAGACGGCGGCGCAAGUCCGGAGUGAAAGCCCACGGCCCAACCGUGGGACUGCUCUGGAAACUGUGCGGCUUGAGUGCGGGAGGGGCAGGCGGAAUUCCUAGUGUAGCGGUGAAAUGCGUAGAUAUUAGGAGGAACACCGGCGGCGAAGGCGGCCUGCUGGACCGUAACUGACGUUGAGGCUCGAAAGCGUGGGGAGCAAACAGGAUUAGAUACCCCAGUA